This 832-nucleotide unclassified non-coding RNA is filed under the name Hevea brasiliensis (rubber tree). The record is from RNAcentral. Lineage: Eukaryota; Viridiplantae; Streptophyta; Magnoliopsida; Malpighiales; Euphorbiaceae.
AACGAUUCUUGAUUCUUCUGAAUGAAAGAUUGGUUGAGUUCCUCAUCUUUUCCACUGUAUUUUCUUUUUUCCCAUUUUUUAUCACAACAUUGGUAUCAGAGCGGUGAUCCACAGCAAUGGCAGGGGUAGAAACACAUUCACAAGAGUGGCGGAAAGAGAUAGCUUCUAUGGUGAUAGAAGCAGAGUACAGGCAGGAGGCAAGGCUGCAAGAGAUGGUAGCUAGCCAAGAAGUGAAGUUUAAAGGAAUUGUAGAUGAGCUCAAAUCCUUGAUUACGGGAUUGAGUUGUCAGAAUGUAGAAGCAGUGAGACAGAAGAAUUGUAGCGAACAAUCACAAGUUGAAGAGAUAUCUGUUCGAAAUAAUCUAUGGAAUAGUUCUGCCAAAUUGGAAUUUCCCCGUUUCAACAGUGAGGGAUUAGAAGGGUGAUUAUUAAGGGCAGAAUAUUUCUUCGAAGUGGGAAGAAUUGAGUAUCAGAAUAGGGUCAAAGUUGCUGCAUUACAUUUGGAGGGCCGUGCAAUUCAAUGGCAUCAAGGUUUUAUUAAAACCAAAGGAGCUAUGGCUUAUGCUAAUUGGGAUGAGUAUGUGAGGGCAUUGGGAAGUAGAUUUGGAGAUCAUGCUUUUGAUGACCCAAUUGCGGAAUUAAGAAACUUGAAACAAUCGGAUUCCCUGCAGGAAUACUUGAAUCCCUUUGAUGAGCUUUAUCCGAAAGCAGGUAUCACUGAGGAACAAUCUUUAAGUUUUUUUUCUUUUUGGUUUAAAUGAUGAAUUGCAGAUGCCCAUCAGUGCUAUCAAAGGCGAGCGAGGUGCCCAGGCGAGGCGCCCCUCUAUCGCCU